This 591-nucleotide ribosomal RNA is filed under the name Triticum aestivum (bread wheat). RNAcentral's name for it is "partial small subunit ribosomal RNA". The record is from RNAcentral. Lineage: Eukaryota; Viridiplantae; Streptophyta; Magnoliopsida; Poales; Poaceae.
AUGCGUGUUAGUGGGAAGGCAACCAAUGCACUAGAAAUCAACGUUCUAGCUGUGAGUGAGCUGUUUGCAAGCGCAAGGGUAAUUGAAUAUGGCAAGUACUUUGUCACAGUUAGGGAGCUCGCAAACUCAAUGAAGAAGGAAGGUUUUGUCUUGAGCCAUGUAAUGGAAGUUGGUAUAGAGAAUAUAAUGAUGAACUUGCCACCAGACUCAAAGAAGCUUGUGAUGCCCGUCAGGUUCUCGGUUCAGAUGCAAAACAUGGAAUUAAACGGCAAGGAGCUCGUUUCCCGGUUCAACAAGUCGAAUCGCUUGGACCGUAAAGACAUGAUUAUGUUCCCAGUUUUAGAGAACAUUGACAAGACAAAGCCUAAAACAGGCAACCAUUACUGGAUUUUUAACGUGAACAUAAGGGAUCGACGUUUUGAAGCUCUUGAUUCUUGGAGGACGCUACAAAACAAGGCUUUAGAUGUUUGCGCAAGGAAAAUAGUUGCAAGUUUUCGGUCUCUAUGGGAAGAGCAUUACGCCAGUUCCCGUGUCUCUCUGGAUGACUUUGGGCUUAGCAACAUCGAUGUUCCAAAACAAAACAAUGAGUAA